This 255-nucleotide ribosomal RNA is filed under the name uncultured bacterium. RNAcentral describes it as "partial 16S ribosomal RNA". It matches the Rfam family "Bacterial small subunit ribosomal RNA", at positions 524 to 776 of the family's 1533-position model. The record is from RNAcentral.
GACGAACCACCCAAACGUUAUUCGGAAUUACUGGGCUUAAAGAGUGCGUAGGCGGCCCCUGAAAAGUAAGGUGUGAAAUCCCACAGCUCAACUGUGGAACUGCGCUUUAAACUACAGGGCUAGAGGGAUACAGAGGUAAGCGGAACUGAUGGUGGAGCGGUGAAAUGCGUUGAUAUCAUCAGGAACACCGGUGGCGAAGGCGGCUUACUGGGUAUCUUCUGACGCUGAGGUACGAAAGCUAGGGGAGCGAACGGG